UAAAUACUCCCUCCGUCUUAAACAUUUUGUCUUAGUUUUGUUUAAAAAUGGAUGUAUCAAAAUACUAAAAUGUAACUAGAUACAUUCGUAUCUAGACAAAUCAAAGACAAGAAUUUUGGAACGAAGGAAGUACAGU
This is a non-coding RNA of Hordeum vulgare subsp. vulgare (domesticated barley), 136 nucleotides long. Lineage: Eukaryota; Viridiplantae; Streptophyta; Magnoliopsida; Poales; Poaceae. The record is from Rfam.